Molecule: ribosomal RNA, 322 nt
Filed under: uncultured eukaryote
Lineage: Eukaryota
Description: partial 18S ribosomal RNA
Rfam family: Eukaryotic small subunit ribosomal RNA
Source: RNAcentral
CCCUUAGAUGUUCUGGGCCGCACGCGCGCUACACUGAUGCAUUCAACGAGUUUUUCCUGGUCCGAGAGGAAUGGGUAACCUUUUGAAAAUGCAUCGUGCUAGGGAUAGACUAUUGCAAUUAUUGGUCUUCAACGAGGAAUUCCUAGUAGACGUAGUUCAUCAGACUGCAUCGAUUACGUCCCUGCCCUUUGUACACACCGCCCGUCGCUCCUACCGAUUGGAUGAUCCGGUGAGCUAUUCGGACCUUCGCUUCGUCGAUUUUCGGCUUUGUGAGGGAAAGUCUCGCGAACCUUAUCAUCUAGAGGAAGGAGAAGUCGUAACA